UACGUAGGGGGCAAGCGUUAUCCGGAUUUACUGGGUGUAAAGGGAGCGUAGACGGCGAUGCAAGUCUGAAGUGAAAGGCGGGGGCCCAACCCCCGGACUGCUUUGGAAACUGUAUGGCUGGAGUGCAGGAGAGGUAAGUGGAAUUCCUAGUGUAGCGGUGAAAUGCAUAGAUAUUAGGAGGAACACCAGUGGCGAAGGCGGCUUACUGGACUGUAACUGACACUGAGGCUCGAAAGCGUGGGGAGCAAACAGG
RNAcentral lists this ribosomal RNA (253 nucleotides) under uncultured bacterium. Its description in RNAcentral is "partial 16S ribosomal RNA". It matches the Rfam family "Bacterial small subunit ribosomal RNA", at positions 524 to 776 of the family's 1533-position model. The record is from RNAcentral.